UUGAAUUCUCAGGGCGGGGUGAAAUUCCCCACCGGCGGUUAUUUUGAUGAAAUCAAAUAAGCCCGCGAGCGCCUGCGGUUAACGCAGGGUCAGCAGAUCUGGUGAAAUUCCAGAGCCGACGGUUAAAGUCCGGAUGGGAGAGAAUAAAA
Molecule: non-coding RNA, 149 nt
Filed under: Desulfocicer vacuolatum
Lineage: Bacteria; Pseudomonadati; Thermodesulfobacteriota; Desulfobacteria; Desulfobacterales; Desulfobacteraceae
Also listed under: 1 other name
Description: Desulfobacterium vacuolatum FMN sequence
Rfam family: FMN riboswitch aptamer (RFN element)
About the family: The RFN element is a highly conserved domain that is found frequently in the 5'-untranslated regions of prokaryotic mRNAs that encode for flavin mononucleotide (FMN) biosynthesis and transport proteins. This element is a metabolite-dependent riboswitch that directly binds FMN in the absence of proteins.
Source: RNAcentral